AUGGCAUUAGAGCUCCCUGAUUACCUGCAGAAGCCCACCUAUACCACGCGACAACAACGUCAGGCCGGCGAGAUGGAGCAGCGUGUGGAGGAGCUAGCGGCGGUGCUCAAGACCAUCCAGGAGCAGAACGCCGCCAUCCAGAAGGCGGUCGAGGCGACCACAACCCUCUUCGCCGAGAUCCAGCCGGUGGUGACCGAUCUGGCGGCGUGGAAGCCCGUCCUGGAGCAGUCCGUCGCGGAUCUGCGUCAGGAGCUGGGCGGCGUACGGAAGGAGGUGGACGCCGUCGGUCGCAACCCCGUCCUCGCCCGCAAGCCUUCGGACUUCCCUCCGAUCCUUCCAUCGCCGGGCAGCGCGCCGUUCUUCAACCCCGGCAGCAGCGCCCACAGGCCAGAUGGCCGUCGCGUCGAUCCAGCACACCGGGGGGUUGGCUCUGGGGUAGUCACCACCCUAGUCCCACCUCUAGUCACGGGUACGUACCAGAUUCUGAAUCCUCCUGGGAGUCAACUAGUCGCCGAUCACCGAUCGAGAGCCUCGGGGCGGUCACCGACGCGUGGCCAGUCCCGAUCUGGUAGUCCACGCAUUCCUCGAUCCAGCAGUCCCUUCCAACAUCGCCCUUCCGUCCUGCCUAGGCCUAAAAUGGAUUUUCCUCCAUUUUGGGGAGAGCGACCGCGCAGUUGGAAGCAAAAUUGUGAGUCUAAUUUUAGGAUCUUCCAUUUGGAUCCAGAGUUAUGGGUCGACACUGCUGCUAUGCAUUUCACAGGGGCUGCCAUGGUUUGGUUAGAGAACAAUGAGUUCGAUCUUAGCCACAUGGAUUGGGGAAGGUUUUGCACCAUUGUGUGUGAUCAGUUUGAGCGAAACGAGUUCACUGGCUUGCUUCGCCAGCUGUUUCACUUGCGUCAGAUAGAGUCUGUGUCCGAGUACGUGAGUAGAUUCACUGAAAUCAUGCACUCCCUGAUGGCACAUAGUACUACUUGGGACCCAGCUCUGUUUCCAUCGAGAUUUGUUGAUGGGUUGCGUGAUGAAAUUCGUGUUGUUGUUUUGGUGCAUAAUCCCAAAGACCUCGAUACUGCUGUUUCUCUGGCUUAUUUACAGGAGGAGGCGCGGGAGAUCUCCAAGCAUAGAGAACCAAAGCGCUCUGACAGUGGUGCUGGAAAUGGGACAAGCAGUCGAUCUCAUCUUCGGGGUGCCAUGCCUCUGCCUGCCCCACCCGGGCGACCACCGCCUACGGUUGCCACACCGCGAGAGGACCGUCGUGCUGCUGCAACAGAAGGACAGCGUGGCGGUAACACUGUUGAAGACCGUUUGUCCACUCUGAAAGCAUAA
Molecule: ribosomal RNA, 1323 nt
Filed under: Triticum aestivum (bread wheat)
Lineage: Eukaryota; Viridiplantae; Streptophyta; Magnoliopsida; Poales; Poaceae
Description: partial small subunit ribosomal RNA
Source: RNAcentral